UCCGCCUGCUUACUGGAGCUACCCGGGUGUUUCACCGGGGACAUGGAACAGCAUCGCCUGGAUGCCACAACCCACUUCACCAUCUGCUGGGUCCGGUCCAAACUCUCCAACACUUGGUAAACAUUCACGCGACGAGAGCAUUGCUGAGCCAGGGACCGUUCUUGAAGAAACCGAGUCACCACUUGGUAGAGAGAAAAGCAAACCCGAGAUGAACCGGGAACCGUUCUUGAAGAAACCGAGUCACCACUUGGUAGAGAGAAAAGCAAAUCCGAGAGAUGCCUUUGGGUUCCCAAGACGCUGAGGAUCGAUGAUCCAGAGGAAGCCGCUAAAAGUUCGAUAUGGGAGACACUAGGG
Molecule: long non-coding RNA, 354 nt
Filed under: Brassica napus (rape)
Lineage: Eukaryota; Viridiplantae; Streptophyta; Magnoliopsida; Brassicales; Brassicaceae
Description: long non-coding RNA (BNAP_LNC009553)
Source: RNAcentral